AGAGUUUGAUCCUGGCUCAGAUUGAACGCUGGCGGCAUGCCUUACACAUGCAAGUCGAACGGCAGCGGGGGAGCUUGCUCCUGCCGGCGAGUGGCGAACGGGUGAGUAAUGCAUCGGAACGUGUCCUGUCGUGGGGGAUAACUGGCCGAAAGGUCAGCUAAUACCGCAUGAGACCCGAGGGUGAAAGCGGGGGAUCGCAAGACCUCGCGCGACUGGAGCGGCCGAUGUCUGAUUAGCUGGUUGGUGGGGUAAAAGCUUACCAAGGCGACGAUCAGUAGCUGGUCUGAGAGGAUGAUCAGCCACAUUGGGACUGAGACACGGCCCAGACUCCUACGGGAGGCAGCAGUGGGGAAUUUUGGACAAUGGGGGAAACCCUGAUCCAGCCAUGCCGCGUGCGGGAUGAAGGCCUUCGGGUUGUAAACCGCUUUUGUCAGAGACGAAAAGGGACCCGUGAACAACGGGUUCCGCUGACGGUAUCUGAAGAAUAAGCACCGGCUAACUACGUGCCAGCAGCCGCGGUAAUACGUAGGGUGCGAGCGUUAAUCGGAAUUACUGGGCGUAAAGGGUGCGCAGGCGGCUGCGCAAGACAGAUGUGAAAUCCCCGGGCUUAACCUGGGAACUGCAUUUGUGACUGCACAGCUAGAGUUUGUCAGAGGAGGGUGGAAUUCCGCGUGUAGCAGUGAAAUGCGUAGAUAUGCGGAAGAACACCAAUGGCGAAGGCAGCCCUCUGGGACAUGACUGACGCUCAUGCACGAAAGCGUGGGGAGCAAACGGGAUUAGAUACCCCGGUAGUCCACGCCCUAAACGAUGUCAGCUGAUUGUUCGGGAAGCAAUUCCUGAGUAACCAAGCCAACGCGUGAAGCUGACCGCCUGGGGAGUACGGUCGCAAGAUUAAAACUCAAAGGAAUUGACGG
Molecule: ribosomal RNA, 914 nt
Filed under: human gut metagenome
Description: bacterial SSU rRNA
Rfam family: Bacterial small subunit ribosomal RNA
Source: RNAcentral